AUCCAGCUGACGAGCCCCAAAUAGGACGAAACACGCAUAGUGGAU
RNAcentral lists this non-coding RNA (45 nucleotides) under Schistosoma mansoni. The record is from RNAcentral. Lineage: Eukaryota; Metazoa; Platyhelminthes; Trematoda; Strigeidida; Schistosomatidae.